UUGUGCCAGCCGCCGCGGUAAUACGAAGGGGGCUAGCGUUGCCCGGAAUCACUGGGCGUAAAGGGCGCGUAGGCGGCCAUUUAAGUCNGGGGGUGAAAGCCUGUGGCUCAACCACAGAAUUGCCUUCGAUACUGGGUGGCUUGAGUCCGGAAGAGGUUGGUGGAACUGCGAGUGUAGAGGUGAAAUUCGUAGAUAUUCGCAAGAACACCGGUGGCGAAGGCGGCCAACUGGUCCGGAACUGACGCUGAGGCGCGAAAGCGUGGGGAGCAA
This 270-nucleotide ribosomal RNA is filed under the name uncultured Hyphomicrobiales bacterium. RNAcentral describes it as "uncultured Rhizobiales bacterium partial 16S ribosomal RNA". It matches the Rfam family "Bacterial small subunit ribosomal RNA", at positions 503 to 771 of the family's 1533-position model. The record is from RNAcentral. Lineage: Bacteria; Pseudomonadati; Pseudomonadota; Alphaproteobacteria; Hyphomicrobiales.